UACGGGGGGGGCAAGCGUUGUUCGGAAUUACUGGGCGUAAAGGGCUCGUAGGUGGCCAACUAAGUCGGACGUGAAAUCCCUCGGCUUAACCGGGGAACUGCGUCCGAUACUGGUUGGCUUGAGUUCGGGAGGGGGCAGUGGAAUUCCAGGUGUAGCGGUGAAAUGCGUAGAUAUCUGGAGGAACACCGAUGGCGAAGGCAGCUGCCUGGCCCAGAACUGACGCUGAGGUGCGAAAGCGUGGGGAGCGAACGGG
Molecule: ribosomal RNA, 253 nt
Filed under: uncultured bacterium
Lineage: Bacteria
Description: partial 16S ribosomal RNA
Rfam family: Bacterial small subunit ribosomal RNA
Source: RNAcentral